GACGAACGCUGGCGGCGUGCUUAACACAUGCAAGUCGAACGGAAAGGCCCUGCUGUUGUGGGGUGCUCGAGUGGCGAACGGGUGAGUAACACGUGAGUAACCUGCCCUUGACUUUGGGAUAACUUCAGGAAACUGGGUCUAAUACCGGAUAGGAGCUCCUGCUGCAUGGUGGGGGUUGGAAAGUUUCGGCGGUUGGGGAUGGACUCGCGGCUUAUCAGCUUGUUGGUUGGGUAGUGGCUUACCAAGGCUUUGACGGGUAGCCGGCCUGAGAGGGUGACCGGCCACAUUGGGACUGAACUACGGCACAGACUAGUAGCGGAGGCAGCAGUGGGGAAGAGUGCACAAUGGGCGGAAGCCUGAUGCAGCAACGCCGCGUGCGGGAUGACGGCCUUCGUGUUGGAAUGCACUUUCGCCUGUGACGAAGCGUGAGUGACGGUAAUGGGUAAAGAAGCACCGGCUAACUACGUG
This 468-nucleotide ribosomal RNA is filed under the name uncultured bacterium. RNAcentral's name for it is "partial 16S ribosomal RNA". It matches the Rfam family "Bacterial small subunit ribosomal RNA", at positions 28 to 507 of the family's 1533-position model. The record is from RNAcentral.